CGUAUGUAACCUACCCAUAUCAGGGGGAUAGCCUCUCGAAAGAGAGAUUAAGCCCGCAUAAAAUCACAGGAUAGCAUUAUCCAAUGAUCAAAUAUUUAUAGGAUAUGGAUGGGCAUGCGGAACAUUAGCUAGUUGGUAAGGUAACGGCUUACCAAGGCUACGAUGUUUAGGGGAUCUGAGAGGAUGACCCCCCACACUGGUACUGAGACACGGACCAG
Molecule: ribosomal RNA, 218 nt
Filed under: uncultured bacterium
Lineage: Bacteria
Description: partial 16S ribosomal RNA
Rfam family: Bacterial small subunit ribosomal RNA
Source: RNAcentral